This 356-nucleotide transfer-messenger RNA is filed under the name Escherichia coli. RNAcentral's name for it is "partial transfer-messenger RNA". It matches the Rfam family "transfer-messenger RNA". From Rfam's summary of the family: Bacterial tmRNA, also known as 10Sa RNA or SsrA, is named for its dual tRNA and mRNA-like properties. Its role is to liberate the mRNA from a stalled ribosome. The record is from RNAcentral. RNAcentral also lists the same sequence under 1 other name. Lineage: Bacteria; Pseudomonadati; Pseudomonadota; Gammaproteobacteria; Enterobacterales; Enterobacteriaceae.
GGGGCUGAUUCUGGAUUCGACGGGAUUUGCGAAACCCAAGGUGCAUGCCGAGGGGCGGUUGGCCUCGUAAAAAGCCGCAAAAAAUAGUCGCAAACGACGAAAACUACGCUUUAGCAGCUUAAUAACCUGCUUAGAGCCCUCUCUCCCUAGCCUCCGCUCUUAGGACGGGGAUCAAGAGAGGUCAAACCCAAAAGAGAUCGCGUGGAAGCCCUGCCUGGGGUUGAAGCGUUAAAACUUAAUCAGGCUAGUUUGUUAGUGGCGUGUCCGUCCGCAGCUGGCAAGCGAAUGUAAAGACUGACUAAGCAUGUAGUACCGAGGAUGUAGGAAUUUCGGACGCGGGUUCAACUCCCGCCAGC